GAUGAAGAACGUAGCGAAAUGCGCUACUUGGUGUGAAUUGCAGAAUCCCGUGAACCAUCGAGUCUUUGAACGCAAGUUGCGCCCGAAGCCAUCAGGUUGAGGGCACGUCUGCCUGGGCGUCACAUAUCGUUGCCCAAUGCCUAUUGCAGUGCAAUAGGAAUUUCUAGGGCGAAUGAUGGCUUCCCGUGAGCGUUGUUGCCUCGCGGUUGGUUGAAAAUCGAGUCCUUGGUAGGGUGUGCCAUGGUAGAUGGUGGUCGAGUUAGAACGAUACCGAUCAUGUGCAUGCUCCCCAAAAUAUGGCCUCUAUGACCCACACGCGUCUUUUGACGCUCAUGACGAGACCUCAGGUCAGGCGGGGCUACCCGCUGAAUUUAAGCAUAUCAAUAAGCGGAGGA
This 395-nucleotide unclassified non-coding RNA is filed under the name soil metagenome. Its description in RNAcentral is "partial contains 5.8S ribosomal RNA, internal transcribed spacer 2, and large subunit ribosomal RNA". The stretch from base 1 to 122 matches the Rfam family "5.8S ribosomal RNA", at positions 35 to 154 of the family's 154-position model. The record is from RNAcentral.